AGUGAACGCUGGCGGUAGGCCUAACACAUGCAAGUCGAACGGCAGCACAGUAAGAGCUUGCUCUUACGGGUGGCGAGUGGCGGACGGGUGAGGAAUACAUCGGAAUCUACUUUUUCGUGGGGGAUAACGUAGGGAAACUUACGCUAAUACCGCAUACGACCUACGGGUGAAAGCAGGGGAUCUUCGGACCUUGCGCGAUUGAAUGAGCCGAUGUCGGAUUAGCUAGUUGGCGGGGUAAAGGCCAACCAAGGCGACGAUCCGUAGCUGAUCUGAUAGGAUGAUCAGCCAGACUGGAACUGAGACACGGUCCAGACUCCUGCGGGAGGCAGCAGUGGCGAAUAUUGGGCAAUGGAGGCAAGCCUGAUCCAGGCAUACCGCGUGGGUGAAGAACGACUUCGGGUUGUAAAGCCCUUUUGUUGGGAAAGAAAAGCAGCAGGUUAAUACCGCGCUGUUCUGACGGUACCCAAAGAAUAAGCACCGGCUAACUUCGUG
This 492-nucleotide ribosomal RNA is filed under the name uncultured bacterium. Its description in RNAcentral is "partial 16S ribosomal RNA". It matches the Rfam family "Bacterial small subunit ribosomal RNA", at positions 29 to 507 of the family's 1533-position model. The record is from RNAcentral.